Long non-coding RNA from Paramormyrops kingsleyae, 541 nucleotides. RefSeq lists it as uncharacterized. The record is from RefSeq and is a predicted model, not a curated record. Lineage: Eukaryota; Metazoa; Chordata; Actinopteri; Osteoglossiformes; Mormyridae.
AUGCAGAGUAAAAAUACAUGACGGUAUUUGUUUGAUUAGGGAUAUUUCCUUCUUAACAAUUGUACAAAAAUAGAUAACGAUAAAAUUGUUGAUUAAAACUUUAUGGUCAAGUGAACUGAAUGACCAGAUCAUUGAAGUGGUUAUUCUGAGAAGGAUUUCAUGGAGAGCCUGGAACCCAGCUGAGACAGAACGGGGUAAAAAGCAUGGAUAUGGGACAGCUGUCCAGCACGGAAAACACAAUUACCAAGAAUGCAUGGACUGUGAGAGGAAAUCAAAGUGACAUGAGGAGAACAUACCAACUGCACACACAUGGCAGAGCAUGAGGAUCACAGCACAAGGUCAACCGUCGUGUGACACCCCCAGAACUGGGGGUUAAAGGCCUUGCUCAAUGUCCCAUGGACAUGUGACUGUUUUGUUGAGGCUGGGGCAUGAAUUGGCGAGUGAGACUUACCUGCUGAGACAAUCACCGCCCAAUACUAAGCUACUAAGCCAGCCCCAUAAGAAGAAUUAAAAGGUAUUACAUUCUAAUUAGUUCCAAACA